UCCCUUUUGCAGAAAAGCAUCCAUAAAGAAUGAUGUUUCCACCUCCAUGCUUCACAGUUUGGAUGGUGUUCUUGAGGUUGCACUCAUCCUUAGUCUUCCUCCAAACACAACAAGUAGAGUUUAGACCAAAAAGCUCUAUUUUCAUCUCAUCAGACCACAUGACCUUCUCCCAUGAAUGAGUAUGUGGACAAGUGUCUUUUAUACAGGUAACAGUUCAAACCGGUGCAGUUAAUAAAAAGUGGAGAAAAGGAGGGCUUCCUGUGAGAGCUGGAAUUCUUACUGGUUGAUAGGUGAUCAAAUGCUUAUGUCAUAAACAAUAAACUGCAAAAAUAUAUAUUUUUAAAAUAUACAAUGUGAUUUUCUGGAUUGUUAUUUAAGAUUCUGUCAUUAGAGUAGAAGAGUAUACCUAAGAUAAAAAUGACAGGCUCUUACGUGGUUUGUAAGUGGGAACCUGCACAAUCCCCAGUGUAUCAAAUGCUUUUCCUCCUCACUGUAGAUAACUGAGGGGAACACUUAUUUUGAAAGUGCCAUGUUGACACUGUUUUGGAGUUGCAACACUGAGUUCAAAUGACUGCAAACAAUCCCAUAUGAUACUUCAUCUGGUGCCCACUCUAAAGCAAAACUAUAUUCUUUCCAGUUAUUAAUUUAAAAUAACUUUCAUAUUAUCUGUAAUCGAAUGUGUUCCAUCCUACAGUUCCUCCUUUAAAACCCUUGCCUCACACUUGAAUUGCCAGGCAGGAGUUUAUUUUACUAACGUGAUUGUUUCUUUAAUCAACAUGACAAAAUAUUUUGUCUUUUUUAUUUAUAAUACAGAGCUUAACUGUAGAGACCUACAUUUCGGUUGGAUAAAGGAGGGUACAUAAAUUAACCAAUAUCAAAAGCGUAUGUUGGUUGAUUGUUGUGGGUUUUUCCAUCUUCACACACACACACACACUCGAGACCGGUGUAUGUCCUGGUUAAGACUAUCCGGGUCCCCACAUGGUCAACCCCUCCCCCACACCUAUACCCGCGCGCGCGUCUGGAGCUAAUGAUUGCAUCUCGUCACUCACUCACUGGAGGAGCAGGAGCUGCAAACGCAGCAUCAAACAGCGUGUUCGUUCUCCAAGGUUUUCACUCAUGGAGAGAAGAACUUGGACCAAUCCAGGAUGCGGAGUACCAUAUCCAAGCGGGGAUUGAUAAACCAUGUCUCCAGCGUUUUAUCAAUAAUUUUAAAGCAUUGAUGCAUGUGAAAAGGACUCCUCUCUUGGGAGACUUGUUGAUGACGACCACAGAAGACCUAUUUUUGCAAAAUGAAAACCAUAAGUAAAGAAACCACACUUGUCUCUUCGCGAUUCGAGAUAUUACACCUGGAGAAGAACUGACUUACAACAACGUGACUCAAACUGGCCAUGGAGAGCACAGCCCCCAAAACACACUUCACUGGCACGGACACCCUGUUCAACAUGCCCGUCUCAGAUGAUAAUUUGCAGAGUGAGCGCUCGAAGUUGCAGGCCAGGAUUGACAAAUUAAAAACACCACAAUCGGUGUGAAACUCUGUAUGAAUCUACGGCUGAGAAGCGAAAUGCUCUUCAAAGACAGCGAACCUUACUCCUACUGCAAUUGGCAAACUUGGAUAAAAUGCUGGGCCCAGAAUCACAUCCAGUCACUUAAACAGCAGAAGAUUCUGUGAUACCCUCACCAACAGACACACAGGUAUGGUCAGAAAUUGACCAUGCAUCUCCAACCAGCGAAUGUGUACCACCACUGGAAAGAACGGAGUGUAUUUGUUGCCUUCCUUCACAACAUGGACACAGAUUCCAGCUCUGCAGAAGAUGGGAAUGUGUCCCACUCCAAUCCCAAGCUGGGCCCAGAAUCACAUCCAGUCACUUAAACAGCAGAAGAUUCUGUGAUACCCUCACCAACAGACACACAGGUAUGGUCAGAAAUUGACCAUGCAUCUCCAACCAGCGAAUGUGUACCACCACUGGAAAGAACGGAGUGUAUUUGUUGCCUUCCAAAUCAACAUGGACUAGGGUUAGGGUUCUUAACAUGAACGACACCGAAAUGGACCAACUUGCUGAUUUCCUGGGACAUGAUAUUCGUAUCCACAGGAAAUAUUACAGAUUACCCGAGGGAACACUAUUAACAGGGUAUGUAACCUGUUAAUCGAGUUUAAACUACCUGUCAAGCGUGUCCUAGUGACUUUGGAAGAAUCUGUGCAUAUGUCUGAAUACGAAGACUAUA
This is a long non-coding RNA of Carassius gibelio (silver crucian carp), 2223 nucleotides long. RefSeq lists it as uncharacterized. The record is from RefSeq and is a predicted model, not a curated record. Lineage: Eukaryota; Metazoa; Chordata; Actinopteri; Cypriniformes; Cyprinidae. The transcript is spliced from 12 exons.